RNAcentral lists this transfer-messenger RNA (360 nucleotides) under Opitutaceae. Its description in RNAcentral is "UBA5691 sp002420265 Standard tmRNA". It matches the Rfam family "transfer-messenger RNA". Rfam says of the family: Bacterial tmRNA, also known as 10Sa RNA or SsrA, is named for its dual tRNA and mRNA-like properties. Its role is to liberate the mRNA from a stalled ribosome. The record is from RNAcentral. Lineage: Bacteria; Pseudomonadati; Verrucomicrobiota; Opitutia; Opitutales. RNAcentral also lists the same sequence under 1 other name.
GGGGGUGUUCCGGAUUCGACCUUUUGUUGGACCGUCUGGCUGCAUGUCGAGGAUGAUGGUUGGCCUCGCAAAAAUAUCCAUCACACACAUAAAUGGCACACAUGAAGAAAUGCCUCUAGCUGCAUAAUGGCAGCUACGUCCCCUCUUUUGAUACUCGCUAAAUUGAGGGGGCGACGACUAGCGAGCAUAGUUUGGGCGGCUGUCUGUUGCGCCCAAUCUGUACUUCAUCAGCGGGCUGGCUUAUCCAAGCAGCGCGGUUUCGUCGCGGCUAGAUCGGCGAGAUUAAAAACGAGAACAAACAUGUAGACGCCUUUCGUGAAGGCUCAAGGGACGCGGGUUCGACUCCCGCCACCUCCACCA